GAUGAACGCUAGCGACAGGCUUAACACAUGCAAGUCGAGGGGCAGCGGGGGUAGCAAUACCCGCCGGCGACCGGCGCACGGGUGAGUAACGCGUAUGCAACUUACCUAUCAGAGGGGGAUAACCCGGCGAAAGUCGGACUAAUACCGCAUGAAGCAGGGAUCCCGCAUGGGAAUAUUUGCUAAAGAUUCAUCGCUGAUAGAUAGGCAUGCGUUCCAUCAGGCAGUUGGCGGGGUAACGCCCACAAACCGACGAUGGACUAGGGGGUUCUGAGAGGAAGGUCCCCCCAGAUUGGGUACUGGAGACCACGGGACCAAAC
This 317-nucleotide ribosomal RNA is filed under the name uncultured bacterium. RNAcentral's name for it is "bacterial SSU rRNA". It matches the Rfam family "Bacterial small subunit ribosomal RNA", at positions 28 to 336 of the family's 1533-position model. The record is from RNAcentral.